This is an RNA transcript of Phragmites australis (common reed), 2068 nucleotides long. It is a transcript of the gene named SKP1-interacting partner 15-like, with no coding region annotated. NCBI's taxonomy places the organism in Eukaryota, Viridiplantae, Streptophyta, Magnoliopsida, Poales, Poaceae. The transcript is spliced from 3 exons. The record is from RefSeq and is a predicted model, not a curated record.
AAAUUCCCGUACCGCCGCACCACUCUUCUCUCCUCCGUCUCAUCUGUGGAUUUCCCCACCCACCGAACCCCACCCUUCCACCAUGGCGAACCCGGUCGCCGCCUCCAACUCCGACUCGUCGCCGCCCGCGCCCAUCCACCACCUGCCGCCGGACGCGCUCCGCAACGUUCUGCUCCGCCUGCCUCUGCGCGACGCCGUGGUGUGCCGCACCGUCUCGCGCCUCUUCCACGACACCCUCUCCUUCCAGUUCCUCGCGACGCUCCCCUCCCUGCGCCUCCUCCUCCUCCGCCACCCGCGCCCCGAGGGCGGCGGCUGUCUCCACGCCUUCGACCCCGCGCGCCGCCACUGGCUCCGUCUGCCCUUCACACACUUCCUCCCCUACCAGUCCUUCUCCCCUGUCGCGUCCUCGCCAUCCCUCCUCUACCUCUGGGUCGAGACCUCCACAUCGCCCGCGCCUCCGUCCCUCCCGUCCACCUCCUCCUCGUCCUCCUCGACUGCACACCCGCCCAAGUCGCUCGCCGUCUGCAACCCCUUCGCCGGCACGUACCGCCUCCUGCCCCCGCUCGGAUCCGCCUGGGCGCGCCACGGUACCGUCCUCGCGGGGCCGGGCGGCACGGUGCUCGUCCUCACGGAGCUCGCGGCGCUGUCCUACACCCCGUCCGGAUCCGGCAAGUGGAUGAAGCAUCCCCUCUCGCUACCGUCAAAGCCGCGGAGCCCCAUACUGGCCUCCGGUGCCGCCGCCGUGUUCGCCCUCUGCGACGUGGGCACCCCGUGGCGCAGCCAGUGGAAACUCUUCUCCUGCCCGCUUGCCAUGCUCACGGGCGGCUGGGCUCCCGUGGAGCGCGCCGCCUGGGGAGACGUCUUCGAGAUCCUCAAGCGCCCCCGCCUCCUUGCCGGGGCUGCCGGUCGCCGCGUCCUUAUGAUCGGCGGCCUCAGGUCCUCGUUCGCCAUGGACGCGCCGUGCUCCACAGUGCUCAUCCUCCGCCUAGAUCUGGCCACAAUGGAGUGGGAUGAAGCUGGGCGCAUGCCGCCCAAUAUGUACCGUUGCUUCACUGGCCUUUGUGAGGCUGCUGCACAAGGCAACGCCAUGCCCACUGCUGCUGCCGGUGGCAACAAUAAGGUGAAGGUAUUUGGGGGUGAUGGGAAGGUGUGGUUCGCUGGAAAGCGAGUGCGUGGGAAGCUUGCAAUGUGGGAGGAGGAUGAGACGGGGAGCAGCGGUGGCAAGUGGGACUGGGUGGACGGUGUUCCUGGGAAUAGCGAUGGUGUAUACCGUGGCUUUGUGCUCGAUGGUGGGUUCACAGCAAUUCCUUGACGCUGAUGGAAAAUGUAUCUUUGUCCGGUGCUGAGCAUGUGGUACUAGGGGUGUUAAAAAAAAGAUGCUGAAUCGUCCUCCAUCGAUCGUGGAAACGGCACCAAUUGGCAAGCUUACAUAUAUCUGGAUUGCAGGACUAGAGACAAGAAAAAAGAGAGAGAGAGAAGAUUCAGAAGCCUGCAUCGUUCCUACCAAAUGCCGUGGAAGUAGUGCAAAAUUCCAAGUUUUUGUUGCCAACACUGGCUGGAACUUGGAAGAUUAACGGGCCCGAAACGAGAAGGAAACAAAACGGGCAUCUGCAAUCCUGAAUCCAGCUGGAUGUUCUGCCGUGCCUGGUGAUCCCACGACCACCGUUUGGACUUUGGAUGCACUCUGUUUGGUCCACCUCUUUCGAUCCCAGUACCGUACGCCCCUGCAGGAACGUGCUCCACACGUAGAGAUAACCUAUACGAGACAGCUUCAAGUUGAUCAUGGCACAUCGAAGCUUGAAACUGGGUGAGGUCAAGGGUGGUAUCUUGUGCCCAGCUGCGCAGAAUCUUGUAAGGUGUAAACCAAGAUUUGGCAUUUGCGAUCUUCAGUUUCGCCGUUGCUCCGGUCACUGACGCCGACGUCCAGGCAAGACGACAGGAUUGUUGACUUAGCGUGCAUCUGAUUCCGAGAGCCCGACGAAUCUUCCAGGAGUCACUGCCGCGUGGGACCAACGGGCACGGCGCACGAGGCGAUGCCAAUCUCCCGUACUCGCGGAAAGCUCCCCAC